CCAAGGAGUGCAACAUGCGUGCGAGUCUCGGGGUGGCAAACCCGUCGGCGCAAUGAAAGUGAAGGCAGGGCCUGGUUCCCUGCCUAGGCGAGAGCCCCCGCCUCUGUGGGGCGCAUCGUCGACCGAUCCCGGGCUACGCUGUGGCGGGAUUUGAGUGAGAGCGUGCCUGUUGCGACCCGAAAGAUGGUGAACUAUGCCUGAAUAGGGUGAAGCCACGGGAAACUCUGGUGGAAGCUCGCAGCGAUUCUGACGUGCAAAUCGAUCGUCAAAUUUGGGUAUAGGGGCGAAAGACUAAUCGAACCAUCUAGUAGCUGGUUCCCUCCGAAGUUUCCCUCAGGAUAGCUGGAGCCCGGUGCGCAGUUUUAUCAGGUAAAGCGAAUGAUUAGAGGUCUUGGGGCUGCAACAGCCUCAACCUAUUCUCAAACUUUAAAUGGGUAAGAGGCUCGGCUUGCUCGGUUGAAGUCGGGCGACGAAUGCCGGGGCUCCCAGUGGGCCAUUUUUGGUAAGCAGAACUGGCGAUGUGGGAUGAACCAAAUGCCGGGUUAAGGUGCCCGAAUCGACGCUCAUCAGAUCCCAUGAAAGGUGUUGGUUGAUAUAGACAGCAGGACGGUGGCCAUGGAAGUCGGAAUCCGCUAAGGAGUGUGUCCGCUAAGGAGUGG
Molecule: ribosomal RNA, 659 nt
Filed under: Tsitsikamma favus
Lineage: Eukaryota; Metazoa; Porifera; Demospongiae; Poecilosclerida; Latrunculiidae
Description: partial large subunit ribosomal RNA
Rfam family: Eukaryotic large subunit ribosomal RNA
Source: RNAcentral